Non-coding RNA from Triticum aestivum (bread wheat), 135 nucleotides. The record is from Rfam. Lineage: Eukaryota; Viridiplantae; Streptophyta; Magnoliopsida; Poales; Poaceae.
UUAAUACUCCCUCCAUCUCAAAAUUCUUGUCUUAAAUUUGUCUAAAUACGGAUAUGUCAAGCCACGUUUUAGUAUUAGAUAAAUCCGUAUCUAGACAAAUCUAAGACAAGAAUUUUUGGACGGAGGGAGUAUCUC